AGAACUCAUGAGAGGACUUAUGGGGCUCCCACCCCGUAGUAGCUAGAACCUACAUUGGACUUCUUUUAAGGAGAAAACAAAUG
RNAcentral lists this non-coding RNA (83 nucleotides) under unclassified sequences. RNAcentral describes it as "freshwater-2 RNA". It matches the Rfam family "freshwater-2 RNA". From Rfam's summary of the family: Aquatic, esp. fresh water. No recognized genes The record is from RNAcentral.